RNAcentral lists this ribosomal RNA (573 nucleotides) under Triticum aestivum (bread wheat). Its description in RNAcentral is "partial small subunit ribosomal RNA". The record is from RNAcentral. Lineage: Eukaryota; Viridiplantae; Streptophyta; Magnoliopsida; Poales; Poaceae.
AUGGAUUUGCUGGAGGUGUUUCUUAGUCGACGCAUCCAGCCACUCCAGGCUCGCGAUCAUCCUAUGUGGAUGUACUUGGGUAUUGAUGACACCACUCGGAUUCAUCUGGAGGAAAUCACCAAGGAGACGGUAGAGCAGUGGUUGCAAGGCAUCAUAGGUAAUAAAGACAACCCCAGGGGGUCCAGGAGAAUUCAACCACUCCACUCCUCCAAUGAACCAGACAAGAUUUAUACUGAGAUGUACUCGAUGCCCAAUGGAGAGCAGGACCAGGAAGGAGAGGCGAGCGGAGGUGAAAGAGGUGACUGGAAAUCCAAUGAAGAAGACGAGGAGGAGAGUGAGGACUCAAGCAAUGGUGAAGAAGUCGACUCCCCACCUCGCUCUGAAAGACGCUCCAAGCAAACCCAUGAUCCAGCGAGUGUCCGUGGCAAAGCGGUUGUGCAGACCUCGAAGCGCACUCGUACAUCCUCCCCCAUUCCGACUGAAAAGGCCACGAAGCAGCUCAAGGUUGCGCCUUCAAAGCCUCGGAAGUCGCUGCCUAAGAUAAAGGUUAACGUUCCCGUUGCCUCUGCGUAA